UAAAAAGCACGUCCGCUGCCAGAGACAGCCGGUGCCGUAAGGCUUAAAGGGGAGACCCGCCUGCCGAGGUGGUCAUUAGAAUGCACUUUCUAAGACCCCGCCUGGCACGCCAGGUGGGGUCUUUGCGUAUGCAG
Coriobacteriaceae bacterium BV3Ac1 is the source of this 134-nucleotide non-coding RNA. The record is from Rfam. NCBI's taxonomy places the organism in Bacteria, Bacillati, Actinomycetota, Coriobacteriia, Coriobacteriales, Coriobacteriaceae.